Molecule: transfer RNA, 35 nt
Filed under: Tarentola mauritanica (Moorish gecko)
Lineage: Eukaryota; Metazoa; Chordata; Lepidosauria; Squamata; Phyllodactylidae
Description: partial tRNA-Pro
Source: RNAcentral
GGGACUAACGCUGGGAGGUUGAGUCUCUUUUCUGA